AAUCUGUGUUGAGGGCAACGUUGAAUCAAAUCUUUAUACCUUUACCAUGCUUCAUAAAGUGAUUCGAAAUCAUUUUGCUUGAAUUGACCAAUCUCACUCAUAAGUUG
Molecule: small nucleolar RNA, 107 nt
Organism: Juglans microcarpa x Juglans regia
Lineage: Eukaryota; Viridiplantae; Streptophyta; Magnoliopsida; Fagales; Juglandaceae
Source: RefSeq, a predicted model, not a curated record